This 420-nucleotide ribosomal RNA is filed under the name uncultured bacterium. Its description in RNAcentral is "bacterial SSU rRNA". It matches the Rfam family "Bacterial small subunit ribosomal RNA", at positions 356 to 773 of the family's 1533-position model. The record is from RNAcentral.
AAGGAAUAUUGGGCAAUGGACGCAAGUCUGACCCAGCCAUGCCGCGUGCAGGAUGAAGGCCCUAUGGGUUGUAAACUGCUUUUGUACGGGAAGAAACUUCCGCACGUGUGCGGAAUUGACGGUACCGUGCGAAUAAGCACCGGCUAACUCCGUGCCAGCAGCCGCGGUAAUACGGAGGGUGCAAGCGUUAUCCGGAUUCAUUGGGUUUAAAGGGUGCGCAGGCGGAAUGAUAAGUCAGUGGUGAAAUCCUACAGCUCAACUGUAGAACUGCCAUUGAUACUGUUGUUCUUGAGUAUAGUUGAAGUGGGUGGAAUGUAUCAUGUAGCGGUGAAAUGCAUAGAUAUGAUACAGAACUCCGAUAGCGAAGGCAACUCACUAAACUAUAACUGACGCUCAUGCACGAAAGCGUGGGGAGCAAAC